GGGGCUGUGGCGAAAUUGGUAGACACCCCCGACUGUCAUUCGGGUUUGCUGGUGCUAACCCACCGGCUUGCGGGUUCGAAUCCCGCCAGCCCUACCA
Molecule: transfer RNA, 97 nt
Filed under: Paracoccaceae bacterium
Lineage: Bacteria; Pseudomonadati; Pseudomonadota; Alphaproteobacteria; Rhodobacterales; Paracoccaceae
Description: Rhodobacteraceae bacterium tRNA-Asp
Rfam family: tRNA
About the family: Transfer RNA (tRNA) molecules are approximately 80 nucleotides in length.
Source: RNAcentral